RNAcentral lists this ribosomal RNA (157 nucleotides) under Hebeloma cylindrosporum. RNAcentral's name for it is "5.8S ribosomal RNA". The stretch from base 1 to 134 matches the Rfam family "5.8S ribosomal RNA", at positions 21 to 154 of the family's 154-position model. Rfam says of the family: 5.8S ribosomal RNA (5.8S rRNA) is a component of the large subunit of the eukaryotic ribosome. It is transcribed by RNA polymerase I as part of the 45S precursor that also contains 18S and 28S rRNA. Lineage: Eukaryota; Fungi; Basidiomycota; Agaricomycetes; Agaricales; Hymenogastraceae. The record is from RNAcentral. RNAcentral also lists the same sequence under 1 other name.
UUGGCUCUCGCAUCGAUGAAGAACGCAGCGAAAUGCGAUAAGUAAUGUGAAUUGCAGAAUUCAGUGAAUCAUCGAAUCUUUGAACGCACCUUGCGCUCCUUGGUAUUCCGAGGAGCAUGCCUGUUUGAGUGUCAUUAAAUUCUCAACCUUUAUCAAC